RNAcentral lists this long non-coding RNA (4614 nucleotides) under Olea europaea subsp. europaea. The record is from RNAcentral. Lineage: Eukaryota; Viridiplantae; Streptophyta; Magnoliopsida; Lamiales; Oleaceae.
GUUCAUCAGGAAGCCACUAAGCAUGUGUGCUUUAUUGCUGCUUCAUUCAUGAACAUGAGGAUUAUUGAUGGUUCAAAUGUGACUUUACCCAAUCACACACAAAUUCUAGUUAAAUUGUGUGGGAAUAUCAGGCUNNNNNNNNNNNNNNNNNNNNNNNNNNNNNNNNNNNNNNNNNNNNNNNNNNNNNNNNNNNNNNNNNNNNNCUUCCUUGAAUGAACGAAGCAUCUCCUCCAAAUGAUGGAGCUUGUCUGCCAUUCCUAGUUUCAUGCGAUUCAUGCCUUCCUGAAGGCCACUGAGACUUGCCUCCAGUGGUUCAAUCCGUUCCUUGUUGGUGGCCAUUCCCCCGCUCUAAUACCACUUGAUAGAGGUCCCAAUCAAAAUGGUAAUUUAUAACAAAGAAUAAUUCUCUUAGGGUGAGAACUGAACCACAAUUUAAAUGAAAUUUUUAUUGAUGAUGUUUUAAUGUCAGCUACAUGAGUUUAAAUAGGCUGGUUGAGGGCAACAGACUCCUAAUCUUAAGGCCCACGUACAGCAAAAUCAAAACUAACAGCUAUCAACUUCAACAAACUUAUUCUAACUGAAAAACAAAUAUAAACGUUGCAACUCUUACUGGAUCAGAUUUCCUUGGACCGAGUCUUGGAUUUCCACAUUUUACAUGUAGUUGUUUCGGCCUUGAACUCAAAUUUUUACGUAGUUGCAUGAAACCCAGUAUGUGCUUGCAUGGCCAACCUUUGCAUGCAUGGCCACCCUUUCCCACGUACCUGCAUGCAUGCAAAGCUUCAUCCAUCUUAGGCCAAAAAAUCCUGGAACCUAGGAUUCUUCCUAGGGGCUCUACUGGACCUUCUUGGUUCAUCAGGAAGCCACUAAGCAUGUGUGCUUUAUUGCUGCUUCAUUCAUGAACAUGAGGAUUAUUGAUGGUUCAAAUGUGACUUUACCCAAUCACACACAAAUUCUAGUUAAAUUGUGUGGGAAUAUCAGGCUGAGUCCAAAUAUUUUGCUGCAUGAUGUGUUAUUUGUACCAAAAUUCCAGCUGAACUUACUGUCAGUUAGUCCAUUAACUGCUGAAUCACAAGUUUCAUCAAGUUUCUCUCAUGAUAGCUUCAUUAUUCAAGAUGCCAAAACCAAGAAGAUGAUUGGUAGGGGUGGUCAAAUGCAAAAUUUGUAUGUUCUAGAUACCAGAAUUCUGAAUUCCAUUUCUAACGUAUUUGUUAAUACUGUGUCUAUCCAUGUAUGGCACAACAGACUUAGGCAUCUUUCAUUCAAAAAGGCUAGACUGGUUGAAGGAACAAUUAUUGUGUGAUGUUACAAAAUUUAAGAGACAUAUGCCUUGUUAUGUUUGUCCACUUGCUAAACAGUGGAGAUUGCCUUUUGAAUCGAAUAAUAGACUGUCAAAUAAUCCCUUUGAUCUCAUACAUUGUGAUGUGUGGGGACCUUACCAUGUUACUUCACACUCAGGAUACAAUUAUUUCUUGAUAUUGGUGGAUGAUUGUUCAAGGUUUACAUGGGUCUAUUUGUUGAAGCACAAAUCAGAUGCCAAGAUUGUUAUUUCCAGAUUUUUCAACAUGAUUGAUACCCAAUUCAAUGCAAAAAUAAAGACAUUCAGAUUUGACAAUGCUUAUGAAUUAGCCUUUAUAGUUUAUUUUGCUGAAAAUGGAGUAAUGCAUCAGUUUUGUUGUGUGGAUAGACCACAACAAAACUCCGUCGUUGAGCGCAAACAUCAACAUUUGUUAAAUGUGGCUAGGUCUCUGUACUUCUAAUCACGAAUCCCCAUCAGUUUCUGGUCUAAAUGUGUUUUGACAGCCACAUUCUUGAUAAAUAGAACUCCGUCUUCUGUGUUGAAGCACAAAAUGCCAUAUGAAGUUCUAUAUGGAAGACCUGUAGAUUAUUCCUCACUUAAAGUUUUUAGAUGUCUAGCUUUUGCAUCCAAUCUAACUACACAAAGAAAUAAAUUCCAGCCACGAGCUAGGCUAUGUGUGUUCUUGGGAUAUCCAUCUGGAGUUAAAGGUUACAAACUCUAUGAUGUUGAGUCAAAACAUUUCUUUGUAUCACAUGAUGUUGUGUUUCACGAAAAAAUCUUUCCUUUUCAUACAGUUAUGGCAAAUGAUCAACUGAUACAUCCGUUCCCUGACUUAGUCUUACCAAAUCCUUUUUUACACCUUCAUCAAGACUCACAUGCAUCCUCAACUCAGUAUAACUUACCUCCUAUUCCUUCAGCUAAAAGUCAUAAUUUGCAUCAAGAGUUAUUCUCUACUUCACCAUCCCUUGAUACAAUGUCUGCACCUGACAGUCCUGAUAAAAAUGGUAUUCCACAUACUAACAUUAGUCACACAUGUCAACCUACUACUAUCACUAAUUUGAGACGUUCACAAAGAGCUGCUAGACCACCACAAUACCUUAGAGAUUUUCAUUGCAACUCCUUUCUCAACAAGAUAACUCCCAUCUUCAUUCACUCGAUCAUAUUAGCCAAUUUAUUUCCUAUAAUCAUUUAUCCCAAAACCACCGGCAAUUUGUAUUGAACGUGUACUCUCAAUUUGAGCCUCAACUCUUUCACCAGGCGGUUAAAUAUGCACAAUGGCGUGAAGCCAUGAAAGCUGAAUUGGAGGCUAUGGAAGCCAAUCACACUUGGUCAGUAGUUCCUUUACCAGUUGGUAAACAUGUUGUUGGAUGCAGGUGGAUCUUCAAGGUAAAACAUAAUUCUAAUGGGUCUAUUAAAAGGCACAAAGCAAGUCUUAUAGCUAAAGUUUAUACACAACAAGAGGGCCUUGAGUACUUUGAUACUUUUUUCCCAGUAGCAAAGAUUGUCACUGUCAAAGUAUUGUUAGCUCUUGUAGCCUCUCAAUGGUGGCACUUGUUCCAAAUGGAUGUAAAUAACGCCUUCUUGAACGGUGAUACGUUCAAUAAAGUUUACAUGGAUCUCCCGCCUAGUUAUGAGGUUCUCAAUGCUGUCAAACAAGGGGAGAAACUGGUUUGCAAAUUGCGAAAGUUAAUUUAUGGCCUCAAGCAAGUGUCAAGGCUGUGGAAUUCUAAAUUAACCCAGGCACUGGUCCACUGUGGUUUCAAUCAAUCAAAGGCUGAUUAUUCCCUAUUCACUAAAGGUUCUGGGAAUGACUUUGUGGCAUUUCUUGUGUAUAUAGAUGACAUUGUCAUCACUGGACCAAACAUUCAAGUCAUUGAUUCUUUAAAGAAGUUCUCAAAUUCUCAGUUCAAACUCAAGGAUUUAAGGAAGUUGAAGUACUUCUUGGGCAUAGAAGUGGCUCGUUCUAACUCUGAGAUUGUCAUAUCACAAAGAAAUUAUGCCCUAGAGUUGCUUGAGGAUUCAGAUUACCUGGACUGCAAAUUAACAAAUACUCCUAUGGAUCCAAAGGUUUCCUCAAGUAUUCAUGACGGAGACCUUCUGCCCGAUGCAUUUUCUUAUCGCAGGUUGGUUGGAAAAUAGAUUUACCUGACAAUAUCACGACCAGAUAUUAUUUUUGUUGUCUACAAACUGAGCCAAUUUUUGGCAUAGCCUCCACUAUCUCAUCUCAAGGCAGCUCACCAUCUUCUUCGGUAUUUAGAGGGUAGUCCAGGUCUGGGACUAUUCUUUCUGUUCACAAAAUAUUUUCUUUCAAUUUAAAUCACUACAAGUGUAUGGUUCAUUAACAAGUAAUAAAGUAGAUCAAUUGAGUCCGAAUAUCGUCCCACAGAGAUUGAUUAGUUUAAUUUUAUCUAACUUGGCCUUAACCGAAACUGAUUUGUCAAACGGGAAUUGUAAUAACUUAAAUUAACCUUACUUGGACUAAAUAUGCAAAUAUGUAUGAUUUGAAUGAACUAAAAUGCGAAGUGAAUGUGUUGAUUGCAAGUUGGUGUACUCAAUCGAUGAAUAUAAAAGUGCACUAGGAUCAUGAAUCCCCAAGCAAUGCUUACUUACACACUUUGACAACACGAUGACAUUUUGAAGAAUCAAUACUCCUAAAUCUAUCCAACACUCUCUUUCGAGAUGAAUUGAACCUAUUCUCAUACACCACCAGCCUAUAUCUCUAUGACGGAUGCAAAUAUAUGAGAAUACUUGUAGUUUUGUGAGUACUUAAAGAUUCACGCAAAGCAUAGGGGUAUAUUUCUAUCCCCCUAUCGAUUCUUACGAUGACUUAUACCUUGUCGAAUUUAUUCGUCUUUUUUCGAAUAGAUGAAACAAACCACCAAAACUCACAUAAUUACGAGCUCAUAAUCAUGGAAGCAAUUAAAUGCAUAUAAAUCAUUCAAAACAAUUAAUACGUGUUUUAGUGUCAAAAUACGGAACAAUGAAUUAAAUAUCACAUUACAAGAUUCACUGAUCUCCUAGUAUAGAUUUUUCUAGCCUAACAUGAUGGGAAGAAAAACAUAACAACAAGAAUCAAGAAAAGACAUCACCCAAUCGCCCUUUGAUUUGAAAUCUUGAAUCUUGGAAUGAAUCCUCUCGUUCUUGCCUUCUUUUUGCUCUUCAAAUCCUCCCAAAAUAAUGUAUAAUACGUGGUGUCUGUUUUUGGACGUCCCUAGCGCUUUAAAAGACUCCCAAGAUUUGUUUCCAUAAGAGUUUUAAUCAGAAAAGGAAAUCAGAAAAUUUUCGCCGCGAUUGGCCUGGGCGACAUUUUCUUCUCG